UAACGGCUCACCAAGGCAACGAUGGGUAGCUGGUCUGAGAGGACGAUCAGCCACACUUGGGACUGAUACACGGCCCAGACUCCUACGGGAGGCAGCAGUUAGGAAUUUUCCGCAAUGGGCGAAAGCCUGACGGAGCAACGCCGCGUGUGUGAUGAAGGCCUUCGGGUUGUAAAGCACUGUCGGAGGGGAAGAAUAAUGACGGUACCCUCCAAGAAAGCCCCGGCUAACUACGUGCCAGCAGCCGCGGUAAUACGUAGGGGGCGAGCGUUAUCCGGAUUUACUGGGCGUAAAGCGCGUUAAGGCGGCCGACAAAGUUGGUGGUGAAAUUUCAGGGCUCAACUCUGAAACUGCCUCCAAUACUGGUCGGCUUGAGUGCGAGAGAGGAAGGUGGAAUUCCCGGUGUAGUAGUGAAAUG
RNAcentral lists this ribosomal RNA (415 nucleotides) under uncultured Chloroflexota bacterium. RNAcentral describes it as "bacterial SSU rRNA". It matches the Rfam family "Bacterial small subunit ribosomal RNA", at positions 258 to 688 of the family's 1533-position model. The record is from RNAcentral. Lineage: Bacteria; Bacillati; Chloroflexota.